GAUGAACGCUGGCGGCGUGCCUAAUACAUGCAAGUCGAGCGAACAGACGAGGAGCUUGCUCCUCUGACGUUAGCGGCGGACGGGUGAGUAACACGUGGAUAACCUACCUAUAAGACUGGGAUAACUUCGGGAAACCGGAGCUAAUACCGGAUAAUAUAUUGAACCGCAUGGUUCAAUAGUGAAAGACGGUUUUGCUGUCACUUAUAGAUGGAUCCGCGCCGCAUUAGCUAGUUGGUAAGGUAACGGCUUACCAAGGCAACGAUGCGUAGCCGACCUGAGAGGGUGAUCGGCGACACUGGAACUGGAACACGGUCCAGACGCCUGCGGGAGGCAGCAGUAGGGAAUCUUCCGCAAUGGGCGAGAGCCUGACGGAGCGGCGCCGCGUGAGUGAUGGAGGUCUUCGGAUCGGAAAACUCUGUUAUUAGGGAAGAACAAAUGUGUAAGUAACUAUGCACGUCUUGACGGUACCUAAUCAGAAAGCCACGGCUAACUACGUG
This 497-nucleotide ribosomal RNA is filed under the name uncultured bacterium. RNAcentral describes it as "partial 16S ribosomal RNA". It matches the Rfam family "Bacterial small subunit ribosomal RNA", at positions 28 to 507 of the family's 1533-position model. The record is from RNAcentral.